Molecule: ribosomal RNA, 468 nt
Filed under: uncultured bacterium
Lineage: Bacteria
Description: partial 16S ribosomal RNA
Rfam family: Bacterial small subunit ribosomal RNA
Source: RNAcentral
GACGAACGCUGGCGGCGUGCUUAACACAUGCAAGUCGAACGGAAAGGCCCUGCUUUUGUGGGGUGCUCGAGUGGCGAACGGGUGAGUAACACGUGAGUAACCUGCCCUUGACUUUGGGAUAACUUCAGGAAACUGGGGCUAAUACCGGAUAGGAGCUCCUGCUGCAUGGUGGGGGUUGGAAAGUUUCGGCGGUUGGGGAUGGACCCGCGGCUUAUCAGCUUGUUGGUGGGGUAGUGGCUUACCAAGGCUUUGACGGGUAGCCGGCCUGAGAGGGUGACCGGCCACAUUGGGACUGAGAUACGGCCCAGACUCCUACGGGAGGCAGCAGUGGGGAAUAUUGCACAAUGGGCGGAAGCCUGAUGCAGCAACGCCGCGUGCGGGAUGACGGCCUUCGGGUUGUAAACCGCUUUCGCCUGUGACGAGGCGUGAGUGACGGUAAUGGGUAAAGAAGCACCAGCUAACCACGUG